CUUCAGAGGAGUUAGCGAAAUUCCAAUGUGUGCAAAUCGCCAAAAACUGCAAAAUUGCCCUUUAACCGUACAUUUUACAGAUACGUGCCCAUUAACUUUUUCGUAGAUCUUAUUGAAAUACACGUGUAUGUCAAAUUUUGUGUCAAUACAACAAAGCAUACAGGCGUAGCACUCAACAAUGUGUAUUUUCACCUUAGUGGACAAGAAAAAAUUGACUUUUUUCUCCUGCCAUGGGGGGGCGCUCUUUUGGGGAGUAAAAAUUCCUUCACAAAUGUGUUGAUGGCUGGACAUUGCAUCAUCCUAGAAAACUUGGAGGCCAGUGGGGACAACAAUAAAAAGUGAAAAGACUUCAAAAAAUGUGGAUAUUUGGGUCAUCUUUGGCGCCCCCUAGAACGUAAACCGUGGGGUGCAGCGUCAUGAUUUGAAUAACUUUUAAUGGCCAUGGGGUGUAGAUUGGCCUGAGCAAAUGUUGUGCCGGUGGAACUCAAGCCUUCGGAGGAGUUAGCCACAUUCCAAUGUGUGCGGAUCAGCAAAAAAUGCGGAAUAACCCUUUAAUCGUACAUUUGACAGAUACGCGCCCAUUGACUUUUUUGUAGAUCUUAUUGAGAUACAUGUGUGUGUCAAUUUUUGUGUCAUUUUGACAAAGCAUACAGGCGUGACACUCAACAAUGUGUAUUUUCACCUUAGUGGACAAGAAAAAAUUGACUUUUUUCUCCUGCCAUGGGGGGGCGCUCUUUUGGGAAGUAAAAAUUCCUUCACAAAUGUGUUGAUGGCUGGACAUUGCAUCAUCCUAGAAAACUUGGAGGCCAGUGAGGACAAAAAGAAAAAGUUAUAAGACUUUUAAAUAUGUGGAUUUUAGGGUUAUUUUUGGCGCCCCCUAGAACCUAAACCGUGGGGUGCAGCGUCAUGAUUUGAAUAACUUUUAAUGGCCAUGGGGUGUAGAUUGGCCUGAGCAAAUGUGGUGCCGGUGGAACGAAAGCCUUCAGAGGAGUUAGCGAAAUUCCAAUGUUUGCGGAUCAGCAAAAAAUGCGAAAUAACCCUUUAACCAUACAUUUGACAAAUACGCCCGCACUGACUUUUUUGUAGAUCUUAUUUAGAUACAUAUGUGUGUCAAUUUUGGUGUCAAUAUGACAAAGCGUACAGGCGUGACAGUCAAUAGUGUGAAUUUACACCUUAGGGGGCGCUAUGGAGCCAUUUUGCAUUUUAUUGCCUGGACGACUUCAGAAUAUCAAAUUUUUCACGAGGCCCGGUCGUCCUGCCAAAUUUCAUGAGUUUUUGCCAGUGGGAAGUGGGCCAUUUUCCAGUUCAAAGGGGAGGAAAAAGAAGAAACUAGGGCCCCGUUGGGGCACUGGCGGGCCCGAGCCGUGUCACGCCGCCCCCAGCGCGACCGCCUCCCCCACCCGAUCGCGUCACACUCAAGGUCCAAAGAUGGUGUGCGCACUUGUUUGUGGUCAUUUACCAUUAUAAUGAACGGGAGGCGCAGUUUCUACCAAAACGCUCGCUGCAGAAAAACUCCAUGUCCUAUUUGAAAAAAGUCUGGACCAUGAGUGAGGGCACAAACACAGCUAAGAUAUAUCCAAAUGGCAAGUUGCUCCUCCUUUCGCUUUUGCCGAGAGAGCAGUGCGUUUGAGCCAUUGAAUGAUGAACAGGAAAAACUUGACUUUAUUCUCCUGCCAUGGGGGGGCGCUCUUUUAAAGAGAAAAAACUCCUUCACAAAUGUGUUGAUGGCUGGACAUUGCAUCAUCCUAGAAAACAUGGAGGCCAGUGAGGACAAAAAUAAAAAGUUAUAAGACUUUUAAAUAUGUGGAUUUUAGGGUUAUCUUUGGCGCCCCCUAGAACCUAAACCGUGGGGUGCAGCGUCAUGAUUUGAAUAACUUUUAAUGGCCAUGGGGUGUAGAUUGGCCUGAGCAAAUGUGGUGCCGGUGGAACGAAAGCCUUCGGAGGAAUUAGCGAAAUUCCAAUGUGUGCGAAUCUGCAAAAAAUGCGAAAUAACCCUUUAACCGUACAUUUUACAGAUACGUGGCCAUUGACUUUUUCGAAGAUCUUAUUGAAAUACACGUGUAUGUAAAAUUUUGUGUCAAUACGACAAAACAUACAGGCGUAGCACUCAACAAUGUGUAUUUUCACCUUAGUGGACAAGAAAAAAUUGACUUUUUUCUCCUGCCAUGGGGGGCGCUCUUUUGCCGAGUAAAAAUUCCUUCACAAAUGUGUUGAUGGCUGGACAUUGCAUCAUCCUAGAAAACUUGGAGGCCAGUGGGGACAAAAAUAAAAAGUUAUAAGACUUUUAAAUAUGUGGAUUUUACGGUUAUCUUUGGCUCCCCCUAGAACCUAAACCGUGGGGUGCAGCGUCAUGAUUUGAAUAACUUUUAAUGGCCAUGGGGUGUAGAUUGGCCUGAGCAAAUGUGGUGCCGGUGGAACGAAAGCCUUCGGAGGAGUUAGCGAAAUUCCAAUGUGUGUUGAUCGGCAAAAAAUGCGGAAUAACCCUUUAACCGUACAUUUGACAGAUACGCGCGCAUUGACUUUUUCGUAGAUCUUAUUGAGAUACAUGUGUGUGUCAAUUUUUGUGUCAUUUUGCCAAAGCGUACAGGUGUUACACUCAACAAUGUGUAUUUUCACCUUAGGGGACAAGAAAAAAUUGACUUUUUUCUCCUGCCAUGGGGGGGCGCUCUUUUGGGGAGUAAAAAUUCCUUCACAAAUGUGUUGAUGGCUGGACAUUGCAUCAUCCUAGAAAACUUGGAGGCCAGUGAGGGCAAAAAUAAAAAGUUAUAAG
This 2770-nucleotide long non-coding RNA is filed under the name Xyrichtys novacula (pearly razorfish). Lineage: Eukaryota; Metazoa; Chordata; Actinopteri; Labriformes; Labridae. The record is from RNAcentral.